GGGCCGUUAGCUCAGUUGGUAGAGCAGCAGACUUUUAAUCUGCGGGUCACAGGUUCGACUCCUGUACGGCUCACCA
RNAcentral lists this transfer RNA (76 nucleotides) under Magnetococcales bacterium. RNAcentral's name for it is "tRNA-Lys". It matches the Rfam family "tRNA". From Rfam's summary of the family: Transfer RNA (tRNA) molecules are approximately 80 nucleotides in length. Their secondary structure includes four short double-helical elements and three loops (D, anti-codon, and T loops). RNAcentral also lists the same sequence under 1 other name. The record is from RNAcentral. Lineage: Bacteria; Pseudomonadati; Pseudomonadota; Magnetococcia; Magnetococcales.